CAUAAAGUAGCAAUACUUGGUGGCGACCGGCGCACGGUGAGUAACGCGUAUGCAACCUACCUAUCAGAGGGGAAUAACCCGGCGAAAGUCGGACUAAUACCGCAUAAAACAGGGGCACCGCAUGGUGAUAUUUGUUAAAGAAAUUCGCUGAUAGAUGGGCAUGCGUUCCAUUAGGUAGUUGGUGAGGUAACGGCUCACCAAGCCGACGAUGGAUAGGGGAACUGAGAGGUUGGUCCCCCACACUGGUACUGAGACACGGACCAGACUCCUACGGGAGGCAGCAGUGAGGAAUAUUGGUCAAUGGGCGAGAGCCUGAACCAGCCAAGUCCGCGUGAAGGAAGAAGGAUCUAUGGUUCGUAAACUUCUUUUGCAGGGGAAUAAAGUGCAGGACGUGUCCUGUUUUGUAUGUACCCUGAGAAUAAGGAUCGGCUAACUCCGUGCCAGCCGCGGC
This 451-nucleotide ribosomal RNA is filed under the name uncultured bacterium. RNAcentral describes it as "bacterial SSU rRNA". It matches the Rfam family "Bacterial small subunit ribosomal RNA", at positions 70 to 518 of the family's 1533-position model. The record is from RNAcentral.